GGAGCCGAAGGGAAACCGAGUCUUAACUGGGCGUUAAGUUGCAGGGUAUAGACCCGAAACCCGGUGAUCUAGCCAUGGGCAGGUUGAAGGUUGGGUAACACUAACUGGAGGACCGAACCGACUAAUGUUGAAAAAUUAGCGGAUGACUUGUGGCUGGGGGUGAAAGGCCAAUCAAACCGGGAGAUAGCUGGUUCUCCCCGAAAGCUAUUUAGGUAGCGCCUCGUGAAUUCAUCUCCGGGGGUAGAGCACUGUUUCGGCAAGGGGGUCAUCCCGACUUACCAACCCGAUGCAAACUGCGAAUACCGGAGAAUGUUAUCACGGGAGACACACGGCGGGUGCUAACGUCCGUCGUGAAGAGGGAAACAACCCAGACCGCCAGCUAAGGUCCCAAAGUCAUGGUUAAGUGGGAAACGAUGUGGGAAGGCCCAGACAGCCAGGAUGUUGGCUUAGAAGCAGCCAUCAUUUAAAGAAAGCGUAAUAGCUCACUGGUCGAGUCGGCCUGCGCGGAAGAUGUAACGGGGCUAAACCAUGCACCGAAGCUGCGGCAGCGACGCUUAUGCGUUGUUGGGUAGGGGAGCGUUCUGUAAGCCUGCGAAGGUGUGCUGUGAGGCAUGCUGGAGGUAUCAGAAGUGCGAAUGCUGACAUAAGUAACGAUAAAGCGGGUGAAAAGCCCGCUCGCCGGAAGACCAAGGGUUCCUGUCCAACGUUAAUCGGGGCAGGGUGAGUCGACCCCUAAGGCGAGGCCGAAAGGCGUAGUCGAUGGGAAACAGGUUAAUAUUCCUGUACUUGGUGUUACUGCGAAGGGGGGACGGAGAAGGCUAUGUUGGCCGGGCGACGGUUGUCCCGGUUUAAGCGUGUAGGCUGGUUUUCCAGGCAAAUCCGGAAAAUCAAGGCUGAGGCGUGAUGACGAGGCACUACGGUGCUGAAGCAACAAAUGCCCUGCUUCCAGGAAAAGCCUCUAAGCAUCAGGUAACAUCAAAUCGUACCCCAAACCGACACAGGUGGUCAGGUAGAGAAUACCAAGGCGCUUGAGAGAACUCGGGUGAAGGAACUAGGCAAAAUGGUGCCGUAACUUCGGGAGAAGGCACGCUGAUAUGUAGGUGAAGCGACUUGCUCGUGGAGCUGAAAUCAGUCGAAGAUACCAGCUGGCUGCAACUGUUUAUUAAAAACACAGCACUGUGCAAACACGAAAGUGGACGUAUACGGUGUGACGCCUGCCCGGUGCCGGAAGGUUAAUUGAUGGGGUUAGCGCAAGCGAAGCUCUUGAUCGAAGCCCCGGUAAACGGCGGCCGUAACUAUAACGGUCCUAAGGUAGCGAAAUUCCUUGUCGGGUAAGUUCCGACCUGCACGAAUGGCGUAAUGAUGGCCAGGCUGUCUCCACCCGAGACUCAGUGAAAUUGAACUCGCUGUGAAGAUGCAGUGUACCCGCGGCAAGACGGAAAGACCCCGUGAACCUUUACUAUAGCUUGACACUGAACAUUGAGCCUUGAUGUGUAGGAUAGGUGGGAGGCUUUGAAGUGUGGACGCCAGUCUGCAUGGAGCCGACCUUGAAAUACCACCCUUUAAUGUUUGAUGUUCUAACGUUGACCCGUAAUCCGGGUUGCGGACAGUGUCUGGUGGGUAGUUUGACUGGGGCGGUCUCCUCCUAAAGAGUAACGGAGGAGCACGAAGGUUGGCUAAUCCUGGUCGGACAUCAGGAGGUUAGUGCAAUGGCAUAAGCCAGCUUGACUGCGAGCGUGACGGCGCGAGCAGGUGCGAAAGCAGGUCAUAGUGAUCCGGUGGUUCUGAAUGGAAGGGCCAUCGCUCAACGGAUAAAAGGUACUCCGGGGAUAACAGGCUGAUACCGCCCAAGAGUUCAUAUCGACGGCGGUGUUUGGCACCUCGAUGUCG
Molecule: ribosomal RNA, 1890 nt
Filed under: Escherichia coli K-12
Lineage: Bacteria; Pseudomonadati; Pseudomonadota; Gammaproteobacteria; Enterobacterales; Enterobacteriaceae
Description: partial 23S ribosomal RNA
Rfam family: Bacterial large subunit ribosomal RNA
Source: RNAcentral